This is a long non-coding RNA of Austrofundulus limnaeus, 796 nucleotides long. RefSeq lists it as uncharacterized. The record is from RefSeq and is a predicted model, not a curated record. The transcript has 2 exons. Lineage: Eukaryota; Metazoa; Chordata; Actinopteri; Cyprinodontiformes; Rivulidae.
UCGGCCCUGAGCAGUGAUCCUCUCAGCAGGACCUCGUCCCCACUCGCCAUGUCCCCGUCUGACAGCAGUCCCAGUGUCCUGUCCUGCAGUGGACGAGCCUUCUCCUCCUGCCUCCCCCCUCCUCCUCCUCCGUCCCCCUUCCCCACCUCCACGCUGACGUCCCUCUCCACCUUCUCCCCGGCCACAUCCGAGCCUCAGGCGCUCUACAUGAGCCCCCCGUCCCCUUUCUUCUGACGGUGAGACUCAGGUGGACCUGCUGCAGGAAUGCCUCAUCCAGCAGCAGAUGAUGAAGAGGAGGAGGAAGAAAGUUUGAAGCAGCUCCAUCUGUUUGUCUCCCUCUGUUUUUAAAGGUUAAUCUGUUGGAGAAGGAGGGAGGUUCCUGUGAUAGGCUGGAGCCAGUUUUCACGUUUCACAAACAUCUUUUCAUGAGAGUUUUCUGUUCACAACUAUGAACUCACACUGAUGUUUUCUGUAAAAAGUUCAACUCUUUYUGACUUGUUUUCAGUGGCAUUUCAACUAUUUUAACGUAGAAACUGUGAAAAAGAAACGCACCAAUCCAAACCAUUCAUUCAAUCUGUUUUUAAUUUGAGAUUCAAUCAGUUUAAUGUUGAAGCAAUUUAAAAUAAAACAGGAUGGUUUGUAGAAAGUAAAACAAAUAAUAUGUACUGUAAGGAUUGUAUUUAUUAAAGAGGUUAAAAUGAUGAAAUAUUUUCAUCAGCUGAAGAACAAAUGAAGAAGAGUUUUAUGUUUUUAGUGUUUUAAUCUCAUGAAGCUGAAUAAAACAGUGACUCACUGA